AUGAACCAGCCGGUGCAGAAGAACAACCUCUACGUAGGUGGAUUGGCGGAGGAGGUGGACGAGAAGAUCAUGCAUGCGACAUUCGUGCUGUUCGGGGAGAUCAAGGACAUCAAGACGCCGCUCGACUAGGCCACACAGAAGCACCGCUCCUUCAGGUUCGUCACGUUCCUGGAGCGCGAGGACGCCACCGCCGCCAUGGGCAGCAUGGAUGGCGUCGAGCUCUUUGGUCGCGUUCUCACCGUGAACUAUUCCUUCCCCGAGGAAAUCAAGGGAGGGGAGCAUGGAUAGGCCGCGCUGCCAGGUAUGUCUGGCAUCCCAUGCUUCUCCACGGUUCAAUUACAUUAUGCCCUGCUUUUGUGCUUGCCUGCCUGGUUUCUUGACACUAGGGUUAGGGCUGCCAAAUAUUUUUCUUACGUGGUAUGA
Molecule: ribosomal RNA, 423 nt
Filed under: Triticum aestivum (bread wheat)
Lineage: Eukaryota; Viridiplantae; Streptophyta; Magnoliopsida; Poales; Poaceae
Description: partial small subunit ribosomal RNA
Source: RNAcentral